GGUCCGAUGGUUUAGUGGUAUAAUUCUCGCUUAGGUGCGAGGGUCCCGGGUUCAAUUCCCGGUUGACCU
Molecule: non-coding RNA, 69 nt
Organism: Dryococelus australis
Lineage: Eukaryota; Metazoa; Arthropoda; Insecta; Phasmatodea; Phasmatidae
Source: the annotation of a GenBank genome assembly